UUGAACGCUGGCGGCAUGCCUUACACAUGCAAGUCGAACGGUAACAGGUCUUCGGAUGCUGACGAGUGGCGAACGGGUGAGUAAUACAUCGGAACGUGCCCGAUCGUGGGGGAUAACGCAGCGAAAGCUGUGCUAAUACCGCAUACGAUCUACGGAUGAAAGCGGGGGAUCGCAAGACCUCGCGCGGACGGAGCGGCCGAUGGCAGAUUCGGUAGUUGGUGGGGUAAAGGCUCACCAAGGCGACGAUCCGUAGCGGGUCUGAGAGGAUGAUCCGCCACACUGGGACUGAGACACGGCCCAGACUCCUACGGGAGGCAGCAGUGGGGAAUUUUGGACAAUGGGCGAAAGCCUGAUCCAGCCAUGCCGCGUGAGUGAAGAAGGCCUUCGGGUUGUAAAGCUCUUUCGGCGGGGAAGAAAUCGCAUUCUCUAAUACAGGAUGUGGAUGACGGUACCCGAAUAAGAAGCACCGGCUAACUACGU
This 480-nucleotide ribosomal RNA is filed under the name uncultured bacterium. RNAcentral's name for it is "bacterial SSU rRNA". It matches the Rfam family "Bacterial small subunit ribosomal RNA", at positions 29 to 506 of the family's 1533-position model. The record is from RNAcentral.